Molecule: ribosomal RNA, 292 nt
Filed under: uncultured prokaryote
Description: partial 16S ribosomal RNA
Rfam family: Bacterial small subunit ribosomal RNA
Source: RNAcentral
GUGUCAGCAGCCGCGGUAAUACGUAGGGUGCAAGCGUUAAUCGGAAUUACUGGGCGUAAAGCGUGCGCAGGCGGUUUUGUAAGACAGUGGUGAAAUCCCCGGGCUCAACCUGGGAACUGCCAUUGUGACUGCAAGGCUAGAGUGCGGCAGAGGGGGAUGGAAUUCCGCGUGUAGCAGUGAAAUGCGUAGAUAUGCGGAGGAACACCGAUGGCGAAGGCAAUCCCCUGGGCCUGCACUGACGCUCAUGCACGAAAGCGUGGGUAGCAAACAGGAUUAGAAACCCGUGUAGUCC